GUGGCUCAGUGGUAGAGUACUUGCCUUGCAUGCAUGAGACCCUGGGUUCGAUUCCUCAGC
This 60-nucleotide transfer RNA is filed under the name Dipodomys ordii (Ord's kangaroo rat). It matches the Rfam family "tRNA", at positions 7 to 64 of the family's 71-position model. Rfam says of the family: Transfer RNA (tRNA) molecules are approximately 80 nucleotides in length. Their secondary structure includes four short double-helical elements and three loops (D, anti-codon, and T loops). Lineage: Eukaryota; Metazoa; Chordata; Mammalia; Rodentia; Heteromyidae. The record is from Rfam by way of RNAcentral.